GACUCAUGAUGGACACUCUCACGAUGGUCUUCCGAGCCCCACUGGUGAAGGGGCUUUGACGAGACCUGCCAAAAGGCGUUAACUGAAGUCAGCUC
This is a small nucleolar RNA of Euleptes europaea (tarantolino), 95 nucleotides long. RefSeq annotates it as small nucleolar RNA SNORD35. The transcript has a single exon. The record is from RefSeq and is a predicted model, not a curated record. NCBI's taxonomy places the organism in Eukaryota, Metazoa, Chordata, Lepidosauria, Squamata, Sphaerodactylidae.